This 238-nucleotide unclassified non-coding RNA is filed under the name soil metagenome. RNAcentral describes it as "partial internal transcribed spacer 1". The record is from RNAcentral.
UUGAAAGUAAACUGUAGUCGGUUGAGCUGGUUCCUCUGGAACAUGUGCUCGCCUUCUGCGCUUUCUACUUAUCCACCUGUGCACUUAUGUAGACGGUAGAUCAAUCUCUCCGCAAGGAGGAUAGGAGACUCGAGUUAGCAAUAGCUCUUGACUCUAAAGAUCUAUCCGUCUAUGUUACACAUACACUUUUAAAAACUUUGAAUGUCUGUAUUAUCGGUCUUUGACCUUUAAACAUAUA